UACGAAGGGGGCUAGCGUUGUUCGGAAUCACUGGGCGUAAAGCGCACGCAGGCGGAUUGAUAAGUCAGGGGUGAAAUCCCGGAGCUCAACUUCGGAAUUGCCUUUGAUACUGUCUGUCUUGAGUCCGGGAGAGGUGAGUGGAAUUGCGAGUGUAGAGGUGAAAUUCGUAGAUAUUCGCAAGAACACCAGUGGCGAAGGCGGCUCACUGGCCCGGUACUGACGCUGAGGUGCGAAAGCGUGGGGAGCAAACAGG
This 253-nucleotide ribosomal RNA is filed under the name uncultured bacterium. Its description in RNAcentral is "partial 16S ribosomal RNA". It matches the Rfam family "Bacterial small subunit ribosomal RNA", at positions 524 to 776 of the family's 1533-position model. The record is from RNAcentral.